This 233-nucleotide ribosomal RNA is filed under the name uncultured bacterium. Its description in RNAcentral is "partial 16S ribosomal RNA". It matches the Rfam family "Bacterial small subunit ribosomal RNA", at positions 524 to 757 of the family's 1533-position model. The record is from RNAcentral.
UACGGAGGAUGCAAGCGUUAUCCGGAAUUAUUGGGCGUAAAGCGUCCGUAGGUGGCUUUACAAGUCAGCUGUUAAAGCGUGGAGCUUAACUCCAUAAAGGCAGUUGAAACUGUGAGGCUAGAGUGCGGUAGGGGUAAGGGGAAUUCCCAGUGUAGCGGUGAAAUGCGUAGAUAUUGGGAAGAACACCGGUGGCGAAAGCGCCUGCUGGACCUGCACUGACACUGAGGGACGAA